RNAcentral lists this ribosomal RNA (421 nucleotides) under Cryptocercus garciai. RNAcentral's name for it is "partial 16S ribosomal RNA". The record is from RNAcentral. Lineage: Eukaryota; Metazoa; Arthropoda; Insecta; Blattodea; Cryptocercidae.
CUCUUCUUGUAAUUUAUUUGAAGUAUUACCUGCCCACUGAUUUUUAAAUGGCCGCAGUAUUUUGACUGUGCAAAGGUAGCAUAAUCAUUAGUAUUUUAAUUGAAUACUGGAAUGAAUGGUUUGACGAGGUAUUUACUAUUUUAUAUAUUUAUUUUGUUGAAUUUAAGUUUUAGGUUAAAAUGCCUAAAUAUUUUUUUGGGACGAGAAGACCCUAUAGAGUUUAAUUUGAUUUUUUAUUUUUUGUGGGAUAAUAAUUUUAAUAUUAUUUAAAUUUUGUUGGGGUGUGGGAAGAUUAAUAUAACUCUUUUUAUUUUUUUAUAUUUGUUUAUAAAUUUUUGAUCCAUUUUUAAUGAUUAUAAGGCUAAAUUACCUUAGGGAUAACAGCGUAAUUCUUUUUGAGAGUUCUUAUUGACAAAAGAUU